AACGAACGCUGGCGGCACGCCUAACACUUGCAAGUCGAACGAAGCAUAAGAGCUUGCUCUUAUGACUGAGUGGCGCACGGGUGAGUAACACGUGGGAAUCUGCCUAUUGGUGGGGAAUAACUUUUGGAAACGAAAGCUAAUACCGCAUAAGCCCUAAGGGGGAAAGAUUUAUCGCCAAUAGAUGAGCCCGCGCUAGACCAGCUAGUUGGUGAGGUAAGAGCUCACCAAGGCUACGAUCUAUAGCUGGUCUGAGAGGAUGGUCAGCCACACUGGGACUGAGACACGGCCCAGAAUCCUACGGGAGGCAGCAGUGGGGAAUAUUGGACAAUGGGGGAAACCCUGAUCCAGCGAUGCCGCGUGAGUGAAGAAGGCCUUCGGGUUGUAAAGCUCUUUCAGAGGGGAUGAUAAUGACGGUACCCUCAGAAGAAGCACCGGCUAACUUCGUGCCAGCCGCCGCCGUAA
Molecule: ribosomal RNA, 462 nt
Filed under: uncultured bacterium
Lineage: Bacteria
Description: partial 16S ribosomal RNA
Rfam family: Bacterial small subunit ribosomal RNA
Source: RNAcentral